GUGAAUCAUCAAAUUUUUGAACGCAAAUUGCGCUUCCUAGCAUCCCGGGAAGUAUGCCUGUUUGAGGGUCAGUAUUAACAAAAAAUCGGUUUGGUUGCAAAUUGUGACGUUUCCGGAGUUUGGGCUUAUCUUAACUUUUUUGGUUAAGGGGCUUAAAAUUGACCUUUUUUGCGCAUUUUUAGACGUACAUAAAUUUUUUUUUUUUUUUUUUCUUUUUUUAUUCCAAAAAUUUUUUUAGUUG
This 241-nucleotide unclassified non-coding RNA is filed under the name Glomeraceae sp. RNAcentral describes it as "partial contains 5.8S ribosomal RNA and internal transcribed spacer 2". The stretch from base 1 to 71 matches the Rfam family "5.8S ribosomal RNA", at positions 84 to 154 of the family's 154-position model. The record is from RNAcentral. Lineage: Eukaryota; Fungi; Glomeromycota; Glomeromycetes; Glomerales; Glomeraceae.